RNAcentral lists this long non-coding RNA (1082 nucleotides) under Rhinopithecus bieti (black snub-nosed monkey). RNAcentral describes it as "lncRNA (ENSRBIG00000046577.1)". Lineage: Eukaryota; Metazoa; Chordata; Mammalia; Primates; Cercopithecidae. The record is from RNAcentral.
AUGGAGAACGGGGAUACUGGAAGCAGAGGAGAGACUGGCAUAAGCAAAGAAGGGCGAUCAAUAGAAGGUUCCCAAAGGAAGGAAGAAUCAGAACUGUGGAGAUUUGUGCUAAGAACCAACAACACAGCUUUGGUUUGUACUAGCUCACAUGGACCAAAGCAAGAGUUUGUUAUAAGUCACCUGACAGUGUCAAGCACUGAAGUAAAUUAGAGAUGACAACAAUUCUUUGAAACUCUUCCUGUUUAGAGUUGGGGUCUGUGACACCUCCCGUUGUAUCUGGGAAGGCUCUGUGAUUGGUUGAACAACAGAAUAUGUGCACAUGAUGCUGUGCCAGUUUUCAGGCCCAGGUCUUAAGAGAAUAGCAGUUUUCAUUCCUUGCUCUUGGAAUACGUGGACUGUCCUGAGCCGCCAUGCUAUGAGGAAGCUCAAGCAGCCACCAUGCUAUGAGGAAGCUGUGAGGCCCAUGUGGAAAGGAACCAAGGCCCUCAGAUGAAUGCCCUAGCUGAGAUACCAGCCAACAACCAGCACCAUCUUGCCAGCUAAGUGAGUGCACCAUCUUGAAUCCUCCAGCCCCAGUGGAGCUGCUUCACCUUAUGCUUCCUGGAACUAAGAUGAGCCAUCCCCUCCGAGCCCUGCCCACAUUGAACAUUCGUGAGCAAAGCAAAUGAUUGUUGUUUAAAGCCUCUCUGUUUUGGGAUAAUUUGUUAUGGAACAACAGUUAACUAGAACAAGUGUACACAGUGGCACCAACAGUGAACUAGACAUGAGGAAGGUCACUGAAGAAGUAAACACAACCCAUGAUGGAAAUCAGUCACAGACACUGCUAUCUGUCCAGUGUAACUCUUCCUCUGUUUCAGCUCAACCAGCCCAUAGAUCCCUGCUUCACUCAUAGGCCAAGUCUGUCUCUUUCAGCUUUGUUGGCAGAUUGGUGCUAUUAGGGAAGAGCUUUGGGCCUCUCUCAAUCCCAGGCAGGGCCCGUGGGCUCAUGACAGACCAGAAGGGAGACAGAUGGGGAUUCCUGGUACUGGGAGCUGCCACUGGCACUUAGCUGAGGAGGGAGGAAGCCUCGUCUGUGCUUCUCU